CCGACCGAAAUGGUGACGCGGCCGAGGAUCUCGCCCGUCGACUUCUUCUUGAGCUGCUUCGACAUCACCGCGCGGCGGAUGUUGUCGGCAACCGUCAAUGCCUGCCGCAAGGCGGUGUUCGGCAGCACCACAGCGAAUUCCUCGCCGCCAUAGCGCGCCGUGAUGUCCUGACCCUUGAUCGUCUGCUUCAGCGACAUCGCGACGAGGCGCAGCACCUGGUCACCGGUGAGGUGGCCGUAGUUGUCGUUGAAUGAUUUGAAAUGGUCGAUGU
This 271-nucleotide unclassified non-coding RNA is filed under the name Hevea brasiliensis (rubber tree). The record is from RNAcentral. Lineage: Eukaryota; Viridiplantae; Streptophyta; Magnoliopsida; Malpighiales; Euphorbiaceae.